This 25-nucleotide non-coding RNA is filed under the name Rattus norvegicus (Norway rat). Lineage: Eukaryota; Metazoa; Chordata; Mammalia; Rodentia; Muridae. The record is from RNAcentral.
UGAAUGUUCUGCCUCAAAAGUUACU